AAGUCGUAACAAGGUUUCCGUAGGUGAACCUGCGGAAGGAUCAUUACAGAGCAAGGGUCUCACGGCCCGACCUCCCACCCCAUGUAGUCGGAUACAACGUUGCUUCGGCGGGACGUCCCUGUGGCCCCCCGGUCUCGGUCGGGGGAGCUCCCGCCGGAGCCCAAACAAACACGCAUGACCGCCGUCUGAGUGAUGAGAAAAUAAUCAAAACUUUCAACAACGGAUCUCUUGGUUCUG
RNAcentral lists this unclassified non-coding RNA (237 nucleotides) under air metagenome. RNAcentral's name for it is "partial contains small subunit ribosomal RNA, internal transcribed spacer 1, and 5.8S ribosomal RNA". The stretch from base 1 to 46 matches the Rfam family "Eukaryotic small subunit ribosomal RNA", at positions 1786 to 1831 of the family's 1831-position model. The record is from RNAcentral.